GACGAACGCUGGCGGCGUGCUUAACACAUGCAAGUCGAACGGAAAGGCCCUGCUUUUGUGGGGUGCUCGAGUGGCGAACGGGUGAGUAACACGUGAGUAACCUGCCCUUGACUUUGGGAUAACUUCAGGAAACUGGGGCUAAUACCGGAUAGGAGCUCCUGCUGCAUGGUGGGGGUUGGAAAGUUUCGGCGGUUGGGGAUGGACUCGCGGCUUAUCAGCUUGUUGGUGGGGUAGUGGCUUACCAAGGCUUUGACGGGUAGCCGGCCUGAGAGGGUGACCGGCCACAUUGGGACUGAGAUACGGCCCAGACUCCUACGGGAGGCGGCAGUGGGGAAUAUUGCACAAUGGGCGGAAGCCUGAUGCAGUAACGCCGCGUGCGGGAUGACGGCCUUCGGGUUGUAAACCGCUUUCGCCUGUGACGAAGCGUGAGUGACGGUAAUGGGUAAAGAAGCACCGGCUAACUACGUG
This 468-nucleotide ribosomal RNA is filed under the name uncultured bacterium. Its description in RNAcentral is "partial 16S ribosomal RNA". It matches the Rfam family "Bacterial small subunit ribosomal RNA", at positions 28 to 507 of the family's 1533-position model. The record is from RNAcentral.